Molecule: ribosomal RNA, 491 nt
Filed under: uncultured bacterium
Lineage: Bacteria
Description: partial 16S ribosomal RNA
Rfam family: Bacterial small subunit ribosomal RNA
Source: RNAcentral
AGUGAACGCUGGCGGUAGGCCUAGCACAUGCAAGUCGAACGGCAGCACAGUAAGAGCUUGCUCUUACGGGUGGCGAGUGGCGGACGGGUGAGGAAUACAUCGGAAUCUACUUUUUCGUGGGGGAUAACGUAGGGAAACUUACGCUAAUACCGCAUACGACCUACGGGUGAAAGCAGGGGAUCUUCGGACCUUGCGCGAUUGAAUGAGCCGAUGUCGGAUUAGCUAGUUGGCGGGGUAAAGGCCACCAAGGCGACGAUCCGUAGCUGGUCUGAGAGGAUGAUCAGCCACACUGGAACUGAGACACGGUCCAGACUCCUACGGGAGGCAGCAGUGGGGAAUAUUGGACAAUGGGCGCAAGCCUGAUCCAGCCAUACCGCGUGGGUGAAGAAGGCCUUCGGGUUGUAAAGCCCUUUUGUUGGGAAAGAAAAGCAGCAGGUUAAUACCCCGCUGUUCUGACGGUACCCAAAGAAUAAGCACCGGCUAACUUCGUG